This 86-nucleotide transfer RNA is filed under the name Caudoviricetes sp. RNAcentral describes it as "tRNA-Tyr". Lineage: Duplodnaviria; Heunggongvirae; Uroviricota; Caudoviricetes. The record is from RNAcentral.
CCCGACGCGGCUACGAUGGUGGAGUGGCGCAGCACUGUAAAUGCUGUACAUCAGAAACUCAUGAGGUUCGAAUCCUCACGGCGGGA